CCAGAUAAAGACACCACAAAAAAGAACUACAAGCCAACAACUCUGAUGAACAUAGAUGCAAGAAAAGCAUUUU
This is a long non-coding RNA of Mustela erminea (ermine), 73 nucleotides long. RefSeq lists it as uncharacterized. Lineage: Eukaryota; Metazoa; Chordata; Mammalia; Carnivora; Mustelidae. The transcript has 3 exons. The record is from RefSeq and is a predicted model, not a curated record.